Galeopterus variegatus (Sunda flying lemur) is the source of this 584-nucleotide long non-coding RNA. RefSeq lists it as uncharacterized. The transcript is spliced from 2 exons. Lineage: Eukaryota; Metazoa; Chordata; Mammalia; Dermoptera; Cynocephalidae. The record is from RefSeq and is a predicted model, not a curated record.
GCUUCAGAAAUAGCCCUGAGACAGGCAGAGGGAGAGACCUAUGUGCUGUGGAGGUGAGAUGCUGAGAGCCUGUACAGAGCUGUCCAUUGCAGCUGCAGCCGUAAUCAGACAAGGGGCCCUAAAGCAUCUGCUGUGCUGUGGAAGGAGCAAAGGUGCCAAGAUUGCCUUUCUUGUCAAGCUCCGUGCUGGGCACAGUGAAAAAGUUCAGAAGUUGAAACAGUAAAUACAAGUUUUAAAAAAAAAGGGAGAAAAGAAAAGAAGACAAGGUGGAAUCAAGUUCUUUUCUGGGCACUAGCUUUCCGGCCCCUGCCCCAGAACCCUCAUUUCUAAGAUUUCCUGGCUCACCUCUGCGAGGAUUGAAUGAGGACCCCCUACUGACUGGAGAACACCUGCUUCCCUUGUUCCUGGGAGUCUCUCCAUAACAGGGUUUGGAUCUUUUUACUGCCACGAACCUUCUUCUGAAGACUAUGGACUCCCAUUAGGAUAAUGUUUUUAAAUGCAUAAAAACCGAAACAAAGGAUUACAAAGGAAAGCAAUUAAAAUACAGCAAUAAGAAUAAUAAAAACAAAAUUGGAUCACAGGGA